This is a small nucleolar RNA of Camelus dromedarius (Arabian camel), 80 nucleotides long. NCBI's taxonomy places the organism in Eukaryota, Metazoa, Chordata, Mammalia, Artiodactyla, Camelidae. The record is from Ensembl.
GAUCAAUGAUGAAAAUAGCCAAAUCUGAGCAUCAGAAGACUUUCUAGUCUACCUGAUGCAUGAUCUCUGUACUUCUGAGA